This 74-nucleotide transfer RNA is filed under the name bacterium. Its description in RNAcentral is "tRNA-Gly". It matches the Rfam family "tRNA". Rfam says of the family: Transfer RNA (tRNA) molecules are approximately 80 nucleotides in length. RNAcentral also lists the same sequence under 1 other name. The record is from RNAcentral.
GCGGGUGUAGUUCAAUGGUAGAACGACAGCUUUCCAAGCUGUACACGAGGGUUCGAUUCCCUCCACCCGCUCCA